RNAcentral lists this long non-coding RNA (247 nucleotides) under Vigna radiata. RNAcentral describes it as "long non-coding RNA (VRAD_LNC009273)". The record is from RNAcentral. Lineage: Eukaryota; Viridiplantae; Streptophyta; Magnoliopsida; Fabales; Fabaceae.
GGACAGGCUUUUAUGCCUCGGUCAACCGAGGUAGUAAAUCAUUGUGUCAUGUGCACAAUAUGACUUUGCAGAAAAGGCAUGUACUCUUAACAGGGUUAUAUGUCUCAGUUGUUUACUUAAUCGAGGCAAUAUACACCUUAUGCUUUGGUUCUCCUGAACCGAGUCAUAUAACCUUUUUUAUUAGUGCUUUAUGGUUCGGUUGCUGACUUAAUCGAGACAGUACACCUAUUACGCGUCGGUUCCUUUU